RNAcentral lists this ribosomal RNA (253 nucleotides) under uncultured bacterium. RNAcentral's name for it is "partial 16S ribosomal RNA". It matches the Rfam family "Bacterial small subunit ribosomal RNA", at positions 524 to 776 of the family's 1533-position model. The record is from RNAcentral.
UACGGAGGGAGCUAGCGUUGUUCGGAAUUACUGGGCGUAAAGCGCACGUAGGCGGCUUUUUAAGUCGGGUGUGAAAUCCCUGGGCUCAACCCAGGAAGUGCACUCGAAACUGGCGAGCUUGAGUACUGAAGAGGGUCGCGGAAUUCCCGGUGUAGAGGUGAAAUUCGUAGAUAUCGGGAGGAACACCAGUGGCGAAGGCGGCGACCUGGGCAGAUACUGACACUGAGGUGCGAAAGCGUGGGGAGCAAACAGG